GACGAACGCUGGCGGCGUGCCUAACACAUGCAAGUCGAACGGAGAAUUAUGACGGAAUCUUUUCGGAGAGGAAGAUAUAAUUACUUAGUGGCGAACGGGUGAGUAACGCGUGGGCAACCUGCCCUUUACAGGGGGAUAACAUCGGGAAAUCGGUGCUAAUACCGCAUAUAACUGAAGUGAAGCAUUUCACAACAGGGAAAGGAGAAAUCCGGUAAAGGAUGGGCCCGCGUCUGAUUAGCUAGUUGGUAAGGUAAUGGCUUACCAAGGCAACGAUCAGUAGCCGGACUGAGAGGUUGAACGGCCACAUUGGGACUGAGACACGGCCCAGACUCCUACGGGAGGCAGCAGUGGGGAAUAUUGCACAAUGGGGGGAACCCUGAUGCAGCGACGCCGCGUGAAGGAUGAAGGUAUUCGUAUCGUAAACUUCUUUGAUUGGGGACGAAAAAAAUGACGGUACCCAAGGAACAAGCCACGGCUAACUACGUGCCAGCCGCCGCCGUAAAAC
This 505-nucleotide ribosomal RNA is filed under the name uncultured bacterium. RNAcentral's name for it is "bacterial SSU rRNA". It matches the Rfam family "Bacterial small subunit ribosomal RNA", at positions 28 to 526 of the family's 1533-position model. The record is from RNAcentral.